GGAAUCAACGCUGGCGGCGUGCCUAACACAUGCAAGUCGAACGAGAAAGUGGAGCAAUCCAUGAGUAAAGUGGCGCACGGGUGAGUAACACGUGACUAACCUACCCUUGAGUGGGGAAUAACCUAGGGAACCUGGGCUAAUACCGCAUAACACCUACGGGUCAAAGGAGCAAUUCGCUUGGAGAGGAGUUCGCGGCCGAUUAGUUAGUUGGCGGGGUAAUGGCCCACCAAGACGAUGAUCGGUA
Molecule: ribosomal RNA, 244 nt
Filed under: uncultured bacterium
Lineage: Bacteria
Description: partial small subunit ribosomal RNA
Rfam family: Bacterial small subunit ribosomal RNA
Source: RNAcentral